GCGAGGGUGCUGACGAGUGGCGAACGGGUGAGUAACGCGUGGAUACCUGCCUUGAGAUGGGGGACAACAGUUGGAAACGACUGCUAAUACCGCAUAAGUCCGAGGGGAGAAAGUCGCAAGACGUCUUGAGAGGGGUCCGCGUCGGAUUAGCUAGUUGGUGGGGUAAAGGCCUACCAAGGCGACGAUCCGUAGCUGGUCUGAGAGGAUGAUCAGCCACACUGGGACUGAGACACGGCCCAGACUCCUACGGGAGGCAGCAGUGGGGAAUAUUGCGCAAUGGGGGAAACCCUGACGCAGCAAUGCCGCGUGGGUGAAGAAGGCCUUCGGGUUGUAAAGCCCUUUCAGUGGGGACGAUGAUGACGGUACCCACAGAAGAAGCUCCGGCCAACUCCGUGCCAGCAGCCGCGGUAAUACGGAGGGGGCGAGCGUUGU
This 432-nucleotide ribosomal RNA is filed under the name uncultured bacterium. RNAcentral's name for it is "bacterial SSU rRNA". It matches the Rfam family "Bacterial small subunit ribosomal RNA", at positions 79 to 544 of the family's 1533-position model. The record is from RNAcentral.